This 450-nucleotide ribosomal RNA is filed under the name Polydontes dilatata. RNAcentral's name for it is "partial 16S ribosomal RNA". The record is from RNAcentral. Lineage: Eukaryota; Metazoa; Mollusca; Gastropoda; Stylommatophora; Camaenidae.
AGUUUAAUGUAGUUCAUAUUAAAUUUUUUCUGCUCAAUGAGAUUUCUCUUAAAUAGCCGCAGUACCUUGACUGUGCAAAGGUAGCAUAAUAAGUUGGCUUUUAAUUGAAGUCUGGAAUGAAUGAAAGAUUGGAUGUUGACUGUCUUAUUUUUUUUUAAUUUUAAAUUACUUAGUAGGUGAAAACUCCUACAUUAAAAAAAAAGACGAGAAGACCCUAGAAAUUUUUUAAAAAAAAUUAGUACAAUUUACUUUUUUGUUGGGGCAACAAGGUUACAAUAAACUAACCUCAAAGAGGACAUUCAUAAGUAGAACUAUAUUAAGAUGGAAAUAAAUUACUCUAGGGAUAACAGCAUAAUUUUAUAGUUUAGUUUGUGACCUCGAUGUUGGACUAGGAAGUUUUAGGUUAAAAGAUCUAAAAUAAAGUUCUGUUCGAACAAAAUCUCCUACAUG